GUUAAGCGACUAAGCGUACACGGUGGAUGCCCUGGCAGUCAGAGGCGAUGAAGGACGUGCUAAUCUGCGAUAAGCGUCGGUAAGGUGAUAUGAACCGUUAUAACCGGCGAUUUCCGAAUGGGGAAACCCAGUGUGAUUCGUCACACUAUCAUUAACUGAAUCCAUAGGUUAAUGAGGCGAACCGGGGGAACUGAAACAUCUAAGUACCCCGAGGAAAAGAAAUCAACCGAGAUUCCCCCAGUAGCGGCGAGCGAACGGGGAGCAGCCCAGAGCCUGAAUCAGUGUGUGUGUUAGUGGAAGCGUCUGGAAAGGCGCGCGAUACAGGGUGACAGCCCCGUACACAAAAAUGCACAUACUGUGAGCUCGAUGAGUAGGGCGGGACACGUGGUAUCCUGUCUGAAUAUGGGGGGACCAUCCUCCAAGGCUAAAUACUCCUGACUGACCGAUAGUGAACCAGUACCGUGAGGGAAAGGCGAAAAGAACCCCGGCGAGGGGAGUGAAAAAGAACCUGAAACCGUGUACGUACAAGCAGUGGGAGCACGCUUAGGCGUGUGACUGCGUACCUUUUGUAUAAUGGGUCAGCGACUUAUAUUCUGUAGCAAGGUUAACCGAAUAGGGGAGCCGAAGGGAAACCGAGUCUUAACUGGGCGUUAAGUUGCAGGGUAUAGACCCGAAACCCGGUGAUCUAGCCAUGGGCAGGUUGAAGGUUGGGUAACACUAACUGGAGGACCGAACCGACUAAUGUUGAAAAAUUAGCGGAUGACUUGUGGCUGGGGGUGAAAGGCCAAUCAAACCGGGAGAUAGCUGGUUCUCCCCGAAAGCUAUUUAGGUAGCGCCUCGUGAAUUCAUCUCCGGGGGUAGAGCACUGUUUCGGCAAGGGGGUCAUCCCGACUUACCAACCCGAUGCAAACUGCGAAUACCGGAGAAUGUUAUCACGGGAGACACACGGCGGGUGCUAACGUCCGUCGUGAAGAGGGAAACAACCCAGACCGCCAGCUAAGGUCCCAAAGUCAUGGUUAAGUGGGAAACGAUGUGGGAAGGCCCAGACAGCCAGGAUGUUGGCUUAGAAGCAGCCAUCAUUUAAAGAAAGCGUAAUAGCUCACUGGUCGAGUCGGCCUGCGCGGAAGAUGUAACGGGGCUAAACCAUGCACCGAAGCUGCGGCAGCGACGCUGAUGCGUUGUUGGGUAGGGGAGCGUUCUGUAAGCCUGUGAAGGUGUGCUGUGAGGCAUGCUGGAGGUAUCAGAAGUGCGAAUGCUGACAUAAGUAACGAUAAAGCGGGUGAAAAGCCCGCUCGCCGGAAGACCAAGGGUUCCUGUCCAACGUUAAUCGGGGCAGGGUGAGUCGACCCCUAAGGCGAGGCCGAAAGGCGUAGUCGAUGGGAAACAGGUUAAUAUUCCUGUACUUGGUGUUACUGCGAAGGGGGGACGGAGAAGGCUAUGUUGGCCGGGCGACGGUUGUCCCGGUUUAAGCGUGUAGGCUGGUUUUCCAGGCAAAUCCGGAAAAUCAAGGCUGAGGCGUGAUGACGAGGCACUACGGUGCUGAAGCAACAAAUGCCCUGCUUCCAGGAAAAGCCUCUAAGCAUCAGGUAACAUCAAAUCGUACCCCAAACCGACACAGGUGGUCAGGUAGAGAAUACCAAGGCGCUUGAGAGAACUCGGGUGAAGGAACUAGGCAAAAUGGUGCCGUAACUUCGGGAGAAGGCACGCUGAUAUGUAGGUGAAGCGACUUGCUCGUGGAGCUGAAAUCAGUCGAAGAUACCAGCUGGCUGCAACUGUUUAUUAAAAACACAGCACUGUGCAAACACGAAAGUGGACGUAUACGGUGUGACGCCUGCCCGGUGCCGGAAGGUUAAUUGAUGGGGUCAGCGCAAGCGAAGCUCUUGAUCGAAGCCCCGGUAAACGGCGGCCGUAACUAUAACGGUCCUAAGGUAGCGAAAUUCCUUGUCGGGUAAGUUCCGACCUGCACGAAUGGCGUAAUGAUGGCCAGGCUGUCUCCACCCGAGACUCAGUGAAAUUGAACUCGCUGUGAAGAUGCAGUGUACCCGCGGCAAGACGGAAAGACCCCGUGAACCUUUACUAUAGCUUGACACUGAACAUUGAGCCUUGAUGUGUAGGAUAGGUGGGAGGCUUUGAAGUGUGGACGCCAGUCUGCAUGGAGCCGGCCUUGAAAUACCACCCUUUAAUGUUUGAUGUUCUAACGUUGACCCGUGAUCCGGGUUGCGGACAGUGUCUGGUGGGUAGUUUGACUGGGGCGGUCUCCUCCUAAAGAGUAACGGAGGAGCACGAAGGUUGGCUAAUCCUGGUCGGACAUCAGGAGGUUAGUGCAAUGGCAUAAGCCAGCUUGACUGCGAGCGUGACGGCGCGAGCAGGUGCGAAAGCAGGUCAUAGUGAUCCGGUGGUUCUGAAUGGAAGGGCCAUCGCUCAACGGAUAAAAGGUACUCCGGGGAUAACAGGCUGAUACCGCCCAAGAGUUCAUAUCGACGGCGGUGUUUGGCACCUCGAUGUCGGCUCAUCACAUCCUGGGGCUGAAGUAGGUCCCAAGGGUAUGGCUGUUCGCCAUUUAAAGUGGUACGCGAGCUGGGUUUAGAACGUCGUGAGACAGUUCGGUCCCUAUCUGCCGUGGGCGCUGGAGAACUGAGGGGGGCUGCUCCUAGUACGAGAGGACCGGA
This 2669-nucleotide ribosomal RNA is filed under the name Escherichia coli. RNAcentral's name for it is "partial 23S ribosomal RNA". It matches the Rfam family "Bacterial large subunit ribosomal RNA". Lineage: Bacteria; Pseudomonadati; Pseudomonadota; Gammaproteobacteria; Enterobacterales; Enterobacteriaceae. The record is from RNAcentral.